GAAACACAUCAGUAAAUCGAAAAAUGGGCAGGACACCAAUAUCCAGAGUUCACAACAAACAGAGGUAAUAUUUCAUCUAGCUACUGUUAUUAUAGUAUUUUCAACAUAUUUCCCUUUAUGAGUAAGGUUUUUUCUUCAGGGAAAUGCUCACUAUGAAGGAUAUGAGGCUGGAAGUUUUUUGUUCUUUCCAAAUGAGUUCCAGCCUUCCAGGUACUUAGUUUGAGCAGUUGCCUUACAGUACGAAUUGUACAAUACUAUAUAUACAAGACACUCAAGCACUGCUACUUUUUUCAGGAGCUACAAACAAAUGAACCUGCUACACCAACUCAUAUCAUGUCUUACAUUGAUAUUCUCCAGGUGUUACAUAUAUACACCAUCAACUAUUUGUCAUAAAGUAUUUGUCAAUGACUAAUUCGGUUCUUUAAACUUCUAAGGGAAAGAAAGAUGCCAUGGACUUGCUCGCUGCUAACCUGAAUGGAUGAAAGGGACAUGCUUUGGAGUCUGGAGUACUUCGGAAUGUAACCGCAGUUUUAGCCUUGAAAUUGUAGUGAGGUUAUAUGGAUAAUUCUGGUAAAAAAUGACCGGAGCUCUGUGAUGAUGCUGAUUUAGUUUUUGUUAAAUGAUUGAAAGAAAGUAUCUUUUGUAUGAGAUGCAUAUUCUGUGGCUGGAUGUUGCUUGUCACAAUCUAAACUCUAGACAAACAUAUUUUGAGAGCCAUCUGACUGUCAUUUAGAUCAGCUUACUUCGUUUGUUCAUAUCUCUGUUUAUUGCAAACUCUAUUCUCUUUGUUCCC
This 793-nucleotide long non-coding RNA is filed under the name Triticum aestivum (bread wheat). RNAcentral describes it as "long non-coding RNA (TAES_LNC017031)". The record is from RNAcentral. Lineage: Eukaryota; Viridiplantae; Streptophyta; Magnoliopsida; Poales; Poaceae.